RNAcentral lists this ribosomal RNA (253 nucleotides) under uncultured bacterium. RNAcentral's name for it is "partial 16S ribosomal RNA". It matches the Rfam family "Bacterial small subunit ribosomal RNA", at positions 524 to 776 of the family's 1533-position model. The record is from RNAcentral.
UACGAAGGGGGCUAGCGUUGUUCGGAAUUACUGGGCGUAAAGCGCGCGUAGGCGGACAUCUAAGUCAGGGGUGAAAUCCCAGGGCUCAACCCUGGAACUGCCUUUGAUACUGGACGUCUGGAGUUCGGGAGAGGUGAGUGGAAUUCCGAGUGUAGAGGUGAAAUUCGUAGAUAUUCGGAGGAACACCAGAAGCGAAGGCGGCUCACUGGCCCGAUACUGACGCUGAGGCACGAAAGCGUGGGGAGCAAACAGG